RNAcentral lists this long non-coding RNA (386 nucleotides) under Homo sapiens (human). Its description in RNAcentral is "HSALNT0248449". Lineage: Eukaryota; Metazoa; Chordata; Mammalia; Primates; Hominidae. The record is from RNAcentral.
UAAAUGCCACAGAUUUGUUUUUAUUUUAAUGAAGCCCAAUGACAGGAGAUCCACCAAUAAACUGGAGGUGCCUUUGAAGCCUAAAAUAUUUAGCAACUGGCCCUUUAAUGUGUUGACCUUUGGACUAAAGGAACUGGGAGGACUUUGGACUGGAAGAAAGAACACAAUAUGACAACCGCUCUCAAAUAUUUGCCGGACUCAACAGGGAGCUGGAUCCAUCCAUCACCAGGGAAUCUUUACUAUGGAACACUCUCCUACCUAUGAAGAAAGAGGAAAGAAAGAACCUAAGACAUCAGAGAGCCACUUAGGAUUAAGAACGCAAGCUGCCCCCAAUAUGCAUCCUCUGUCCUUAAAGACCUGAGCUACGAACAUGGAAAAGAUUGAAA